RNAcentral lists this ribosomal RNA (496 nucleotides) under uncultured bacterium. RNAcentral's name for it is "partial 16S ribosomal RNA". It matches the Rfam family "Bacterial small subunit ribosomal RNA", at positions 28 to 507 of the family's 1533-position model. The record is from RNAcentral.
GAUGAACGCUGGCGGCGUGCCUAAUACAUGCAAGUCGAGCGAACGGGCGAGAAGCUUGCUUCUCUGAUGUUAGCGGCGGACGGGUGAGUAACACGUGGAUAACCUACCUAUAAGACUGGGAUAACUUCGGGAAACCGUAGCUAAUACCGGAUAAUAUUUUGAACCGCAUGGUUCAAAAGUGAAAGACGGUCUUGCUGUCACUUAUAGAUGGAUCCGCGCUGCAUUAGCUAGUUGGUAAGGUAACGGCUUACCAAGGCAACGAUGCAUAGCCGACCUGAGAGGGUGAUCGGCCACACUGGAACUGAGACACGGUCCAGACUCCUACGGGAGGCAGCAGUAGGGAAUCUUCCGCAAUGGGCGAAAGCCUGACGGAGCAACGCCGCGUGAGUGAUGAAGGUCUUCGGAUCGUAAAACUCUGUUAUUAGGGAAGAACAUAUGUGUAAGUACUGUGCACAUCUUGACGGUACCUAAUCAGAAAGCCACGGCUAACUACGUG